GCACUAGUCGUCUAAUAGGUUAGGACUACAGACUUUCAAUCUGUCAACAGGGGUUCGAUCCCCCUCUAGUGUACCA
Molecule: transfer RNA, 76 nt
Filed under: Aureispira sp.
Lineage: Bacteria; Pseudomonadati; Bacteroidota; Saprospiria; Saprospirales; Saprospiraceae
Also listed under: 1 other name
Description: tRNA-Glu
Rfam family: tRNA
About the family: Transfer RNA (tRNA) molecules are approximately 80 nucleotides in length. Their secondary structure includes four short double-helical elements and three loops (D, anti-codon, and T loops).
Source: RNAcentral